Molecule: long non-coding RNA, 1095 nt
Organism: Cyprinus carpio (common carp)
Lineage: Eukaryota; Metazoa; Chordata; Actinopteri; Cypriniformes; Cyprinidae
Source: Ensembl
AUGUACAGAUUCACAGGAGUGAGAGUUUAUUCAUUAGUGAUGAUCUGCCUGAUUAAAGGUCACAUGGGUGAUGCUGCUGACCCUGUGCCUGCCAUUACAGGAGGAAGUGUCAUCAUCAACUGUGUGUAUAAUCGUGAAAAUGCGAAAACCAGUGCAAAAAGCUUUUGCAAAAAGUUGGGCAGUAAUUGUACAACCAUGACAGAAGUAAAGAAUGAUUUAUGGAUCCCAGAGGAGAGAUUCUCUAUGACUGAUAAUACAACUCUGGGUCUGAUUAGUGUGCUCAUUAGAAACCUGACUGUAAAUGACAGUGUAUUUCUGUGGAAUAUACAGCAACCUUAUCUACAUUCCCCUUUUCACAGAGAUUCAUCUUCAUGUUUCAGGUGAGAACACAAGGUGCUUCACGAUGCCACAGAAGAACCUUUUUGUCUAAAUGGUUCCAUAAAGAAUCUUUACAUCUGAAGAACCUUUCUGUUUCACAAAAGCUUCUUUGUGGUGAAAGAAUGUUCUUCGGAUUAUAAAAAGGGAAGAAAGAGAUGGUUCUUUGACUGAAUGGUUCUUUAUGGAGCCAAAAAUGGUUCUUCUAUGGCAUCGCUGUGAAGAACCCUCUGAAGUACCUUUAUUUUAAAGAGUGUACAUGUAAUGUAUGCUAAUGUCAUUUUGAUUCUUGACCUUUCAUCUGUGGACAACAAUGGAAAACCAAGAACAGAUGCUUCAGUCCAGUCUGAUCUCUACGUCAUCAUUAUGGUGAAUAUGUGUUUGAUUCUGUUAUUAGCUGGAGGACUGAGUUUGUUGUUGCUCAAGCGGAAAUGUAAAAAGACACAAGGUUCAGUCUCAUCAGAUCAGAGGAGCACAAGAGACGAUGAUGAGGUGGCCUCAUCUGCUUAUUAUGCAACGAUCCCAGACUCUGGAAACACAACAUUACACCCGUCUGUUCAGAAGCCCAUUGGUUUAAACACGGUUUAUGACACGGCCCAUUUACCCACAAACCCCUCUGACAGUGAUUUCUACACACUGGCUGAACAACCUCAAAAUAUGACAUGUUUGUGAUUCAGUAUGUUGGCAUAUAUUAGAAUAAAUAAAGUCAAUUAUUUGUCA